RNAcentral lists this ribosomal RNA (794 nucleotides) under uncultured Actinomycetales bacterium. RNAcentral describes it as "bacterial SSU rRNA". It matches the Rfam family "Bacterial small subunit ribosomal RNA", at positions 29 to 838 of the family's 1533-position model. Lineage: Bacteria; Bacillati; Actinomycetota; Actinomycetes; Actinomycetales. The record is from RNAcentral.
ACGAACGCUGGCGGCGUGCUUAACACAUGCAAGUCGAGCGAUGAAGCACCUUCGGGUGUGAAUUAGCGGCGAACGGGUGAGGAACACGUGAGAAAUCUGCCUUCAACUCUGGGAUAACUCCGGGAAACCGGGGCUAAUACCGGAUAUGAGACCUGCAGGCAUCUGCGGGUCUGGAAAGUUUUUCGGUUGAAGAUGAUCUCGCGGCCUAUCAGCUUGUUGGUGAGGUAAUGGCUCACCAAGGCGACGACGGGUAGCCGGCCUGAGAGGGCGACCGGCCACACUGGGACUGAGACACGGCCCAGACUCCUACGGGAGGCAGCAGUGGGGAAUAUUGGGCAAUGGAGGAAACUCUGACCCAGCGACGCCGCGUGCGGGAUGAAGGCCUUCGGGUUGUAAACCGCUUUCAGCAGGGAAGAAGCGAAAGUGACGGUACCUGCAGAAGAAGCACCGGCUAACUAUGUGCCAGCAGCCGCGGUAAUACAUAGGGUGCAAGCGUUGUCCGGAAUUAUUGGGCGUAAAGAGCUCGUAGGUGGUUCGUCACGUCGGAUGUGAAACUCUGGGGCUUAACUCCAGACCUGCAUUCGAUACGGGCGAGCUUGAGUAUGGUAGGGGAGUCUGGAAUUCCUGGUGUAGCGGUGGAAUGCGCAGAUAUCAGGAGGAACACCAAUGGCGAAGGCAGGACUCUGGGCCAUUACUGACACUGAGGAGCGAAAGCGUGGGGAGCGAACAGGAUUAGAUACCCUGGUAGUCCACGCCGUAAACGGUGGGCACUAGUUGUGGGGACCUUCCACGGU